Molecule: ribosomal RNA, 253 nt
Filed under: uncultured Flavobacterium sp.
Lineage: Bacteria; Pseudomonadati; Bacteroidota; Flavobacteriia; Flavobacteriales; Flavobacteriaceae
Description: partial 16S ribosomal RNA
Rfam family: Bacterial small subunit ribosomal RNA
Source: RNAcentral
UACGGAGGAUCCAAGCGUUAUCCGGAAUCAUUGGGUUUAAAGGGUCCGUAGGCGGCCUUAUAAGUCAGUGGUGAAAGUUUGCAGCUUAACUGUAAAAUUGCCAUUGAUACUGUAGGGCUUGAAUUUUUGUGAAGUAACUAGAAUAUGUAGUGUAGCGGUGAAAUGCUUAGAUAUUACAUGGAAUACCAAUUGCGAAGGCAGGUUACUAACAAACGAUUGACGCUGAUGGACGAAAGCGUGGGGAUCAAACAGG